Molecule: ribosomal RNA, 722 nt
Filed under: Pediococcus pentosaceus
Lineage: Bacteria; Bacillati; Bacillota; Bacilli; Lactobacillales; Lactobacillaceae
Description: bacterial SSU rRNA
Rfam family: Bacterial small subunit ribosomal RNA
Source: RNAcentral
UAAUACCGUAUAACAGAGAAAACCGCAUGGUUUUUUAAAAGAUGGCCUAUCACUUUUGGAUGGACCCGCGGCGUAUUAGCUAGUUGGGGUAAAGGCUCACCAGUGAUACGUAGCCGACCUGAGAGGGUAAUCGGCCACAUUGGGACUGAGACACGGCCCAGACUCCUACGGGAGGCAGCAGUAGGGAAUCUUCCACAAUGGACGCAAGUCUGAUGGAGCAACGCCGCGUGAGUGAAGAAGGGUUUCGGCUCGUAAAGCUCUGUUGUUAAAGAAGAAGUAAGAGUAACUGUCCCAGUGACGGUAUUUAACCAGAAAGCCACGGCUAACUACGUGCCAGCCGGUAAUACGUAGGCAAGCGUUAUCCGGAUUUAUUGGGCGUAAAGCGAGCGCAGGCGGUCUUUUAAGUCUAAUGUGAAAGCCUUCGGCUCAACCGAAGAAGUGCAUUGGAAACUGGGAGACUUGAGUGCAGAAGAGGACAGUGGAACUCCAUGUGUAGCGGUGAAAUGCGUAGAUAUAUGGAAGAACACCAGUGGCGAAGGCGGCUGUCUGGUCUGCAACUGACGCUGAGGCUCGAAAGCAUGGGUAGCGAACAGGAUUAGAUACCCUGGUAGUCCAUGCCGUAAACGAUGAUUACUAAUGUUGGAGGGUUUCCGCCCUUCAGUGCUGCAGCUAACGCAUUAAGUAAUCCGCCUGGGGAGUACGACCCAAGGUUGAACUCAAAG